GGGGUCAUAGCUUAAUGGUAAAGCGGUUGCUCCGCAAGCUGCAAACCCGCGUUCGAUUCCCGGUGACUCCA
The sequence is a transfer RNA, 71 nucleotides long. It matches the Rfam family "tRNA". Rfam says of the family: Transfer RNA (tRNA) molecules are approximately 80 nucleotides in length. Their secondary structure includes four short double-helical elements and three loops (D, anti-codon, and T loops). The record is from Rfam.